This 301-nucleotide ribosomal RNA is filed under the name uncultured bacterium. Its description in RNAcentral is "partial 16S ribosomal RNA". It matches the Rfam family "Bacterial small subunit ribosomal RNA", at positions 509 to 807 of the family's 1533-position model. The record is from RNAcentral.
CAGCAGCCACGGUAAUACGUAGGUGGCAAGCGUUGUCCGGAAUUAUUGGGCGUAAAGGGCUCGCAGGCGGUUUCUUAAGUCUGAUGUGAAAGCCCCCGGCUCAACCGGGGAGGGUCAUUGGAAACUGGGAAACUUGAGUGCAGAAGAGGAGAGUGGAAUUCCACGUGUAGCGGUGAAAUGCGUAGAGAUGUGGGGGAACACCAGUGGCGAAGGCGACUCUCUGGUCUGUAACUGACGCUGAGGAGCGAAAGCGUGGGGAGCGAACAGGAUUAGAUACCCCUGUAGUCCCUGUCUCUUAUAC